CCUACGGGAGGCAGCAGUGGGGAAUAUUGCACAAUGGGGGGAACCCUGAUGCAGCGACGCCGCGUGGGUGAAGGAGUAUUUCGGUAUGUAAAGCCCUAUCAGCAGGGAAGAACAAUGACGGUACCUGACUAAGAAGCACCGGCUAAAUACGUGCCAGCAGCCGCGGUAAUACGUAUGGUGCAAGCGUUAUCCGGAUUUACUGGGUGUAAAGGGAGCGCAGGCGGCGCGUUAAGCCUGGUGUGAAAGCCCGCGGCCCAACCGCGGGACUGCAUUGGGAACUGGCGCGCUGGAGUGCCGGAGGGGUAGGCGGAAUUCCUAGUGUAGCGGUGAAAGGCGUAGAUAUUAGGAGGAACACCAGAGGCGAAGGCGAUUAACUGGACCGUAACUGACGCUGAGGCACGAAAGUGUGGGUAGCAAACAGGAUUAGAUACCCCUGUAGUC
This 441-nucleotide ribosomal RNA is filed under the name uncultured bacterium. RNAcentral's name for it is "partial 16S ribosomal RNA". It matches the Rfam family "Bacterial small subunit ribosomal RNA", at positions 338 to 795 of the family's 1533-position model. The record is from RNAcentral.